GGCAACAACAUUAAUAGUGAUAAGUGUAUAUAUACACACAGAAGCAUGGGUAGUUAGUUUCUAAACAACUUAAAUACAAUAGCAGAAUAAGGCGUUUAAAGAUGAAGCUUGUGGUUUUCAUAUCGUUCUUGCUCAUGCUUUCAUUGUGCUCUUCAGGAUUUGGGGAGGGUCGCGAAAUUGCUGAUAACGACCUCUUUUCCUCGAACAAGGUUGAAGAGCUGUAUAGUGAUCGAAUGAUGGAUUAUCCUCCAACGGGCCCAAACCCAGGACACGACCCGACAGUUCCUCCGCCUCCACAUUCCGACGAAGAAAACAUGAUGGAAAAUUAUGUUAACUGAAUAUUGAAAUCCAUCCCAUCUUUGUAAAACAUAUAAUUAAAUAAAUUGCAUUCGUGAGCUCUUAUUUUAUCAUUUAAUUAUGUUUAGAAUUAGAGAAUCAAAGAAUUCAAACUUCAACCCUUUUA
Long non-coding RNA from Brassica rapa (field mustard), 463 nucleotides. RefSeq lists it as uncharacterized. NCBI's taxonomy places the organism in Eukaryota, Viridiplantae, Streptophyta, Magnoliopsida, Brassicales, Brassicaceae. The record is from RefSeq and is a predicted model, not a curated record.